RNAcentral lists this small RNA (132 nucleotides) under Klebsiella pneumoniae. Its description in RNAcentral is "RtT sRNA". It matches the Rfam family "RtT RNA". Rfam says of the family: This family represents a bacterial cis-regulatory element known as RtT RNA. The exact function of RtT is unknown although it is thought that it may be involved in changing the cellular response in relation to amino acid starvation. The record is from RNAcentral. Lineage: Bacteria; Pseudomonadati; Pseudomonadota; Gammaproteobacteria; Enterobacterales; Enterobacteriaceae.
UAUUCUGCCCCAUGGGGAAGGAUGAGAAGCUUCGACUAAGGUUCGACUCGAGCGCAGCGAGAGAACGUUGCCGCAGGCAAUGGCCCGAAGGGCGAGGCGCUUUAGCGCCGAGUAAUCCUUCCCCCACCACCA